AAACGACUCUCGGCAACGGAUAUCUUGGCUCUCGCAUCGAUGAAGAACGCAGCAAAAUGCGAUACUUGGUGUGAAUUGCAGAAUCCCGUGAACCAUCGAGUUUUUGAACGCAAGUUGCGCCCGAAGCCGUUAUGCUGAGGGCACGUCUGCCUGGGCGUCACGC
This 163-nucleotide ribosomal RNA is filed under the name Osmanthus attenuatus. RNAcentral's name for it is "5.8S ribosomal RNA". It matches the Rfam family "5.8S ribosomal RNA". Rfam says of the family: 5.8S ribosomal RNA (5.8S rRNA) is a component of the large subunit of the eukaryotic ribosome. It is transcribed by RNA polymerase I as part of the 45S precursor that also contains 18S and 28S rRNA. Functionally, it is thought that 5.8S rRNA may be involved in ribosome translocation. The record is from RNAcentral. Lineage: Eukaryota; Viridiplantae; Streptophyta; Magnoliopsida; Lamiales; Oleaceae.